GGAGUCGGCCAGACAGUCGCGUCAUUGGAAACAAUGCCGAGGAAAGUCCGGGCUCCACAGGGCACGGUGCCAGGUAACGCCUGGGCGGCGCAAGCCGACGGAAAGUGCAACAGAAAGAUACCGCCUAUGUCGGAGCAAUCUGGCAGGUAAGGGUGAAAUGGUGCGGUAAGAGCGCACCGCGAGCCUGGCAACAGGCCGGUACGGCAAACCCCACCGGGAGCAAGGCCAAAUAGGGAGACGAUGCCGCGGCCCGCGGUGUCUCCGGGUAGGCUGCUUGAGCGUACGGGUGACCGUGCGCCUAGAGGAAUGACUGUCCUAGACAGAACCCGGCUUAUCGGCCGGCUCCGCCA
This 350-nucleotide RNase P RNA is filed under the name Thermomonas carbonis. Its description in RNAcentral is "Bacterial RNase P class A". It matches the Rfam family "Bacterial RNase P class A". Rfam says of the family: Ribonuclease P (RNase P) is a ubiquitous endoribonuclease, found in archaea, bacteria and eukarya as well as chloroplasts and mitochondria. Its best characterised activity is the generation of mature 5'-ends of tRNAs by cleaving the 5'-leader elements of precursor-tRNAs. Cellular RNase Ps are ribonucleoproteins. The record is from Rfam by way of RNAcentral. Lineage: Bacteria; Pseudomonadati; Pseudomonadota; Gammaproteobacteria; Lysobacterales; Lysobacteraceae.